Molecule: ribosomal RNA, 583 nt
Filed under: Salmonella enterica subsp. enterica serovar Infantis
Lineage: Bacteria; Pseudomonadati; Pseudomonadota; Gammaproteobacteria; Enterobacterales; Enterobacteriaceae
Also listed under: 2 other names
Description: bacterial SSU rRNA
Rfam family: Bacterial small subunit ribosomal RNA
Source: RNAcentral
AAAUUGAAGAGUUUGAUCAUGGCUCAGAUUGAACGCUGGCGGCAGGCCUAACACAUGCAAGUCGAACGGUAACAGGAAGCAGCUUGCUGCUUCGCUGACGAGUGGCGGACGGGUGAGUAAUGUCUGGGAAACUGCCUGAUGGAGGGGGAUAACUACUGGAAACGGUGGCUAAUACCGCAUAACGUCGCAAGACCAAAGAGGGGGACCUUCGGGCCUCUUGCCAUCAGAUGUGCCCAGAUGGGAUUAGCUUGUUGGUGAGGUAACGGCUCACCAAGGCGACGAUCCCUAGCUGGUCUGAGAGGAUGACCAGCCACACUGGAACUGAGACACGGUCCAGACUCCUACGGGAGGCAGCAGUGGGGAAUAUUGCACAAUGGGCGCAAGCCUGAUGCAGCCAUGCCGCGUGUAUGAAGAAGGCCUUCGGGUUGUAAAGUACUUUCAGCGGGGAGGAAGGUGUUGCGGUUAAUAACCGCAGCAAUUGACGUUACCCGCAGAAGAAGCACCGGCUAACUCCGUGCCAGCAGCCGCGGUAAUACGGAGGGUGCAAGCGUUAAUCGGAAUUACUGGGCGUAAAGCGCACGCA